GCAGAAGUCUAUCCUGAUGGGGCUUCUCCAGUAGCUACACAAUGAUGGACACGCCUCACAUAGUAACUUGUGGUUUUGCUUGACUCAAGACUGUUUAUUAGGUCUGUGGGAAGGAACUACAAAAUAGCA
This 129-nucleotide small nucleolar RNA is filed under the name Peromyscus maniculatus bairdii (prairie deer mouse). The record is from RNAcentral. Lineage: Eukaryota; Metazoa; Chordata; Mammalia; Rodentia; Cricetidae.